AUCAUUCUCAAAUAUUGUCAGUUUUCUCCACGUCCAUAAUCCAUGGCUGCAACAACUCCAUUAUUGGCUCCCAAAGCUUCACAACCAUGUCUUACUCAACCACCCAACAAAAUUACAAGUAUCAAAACCCUAGCUGAAUCACCUGGUCUUACUACCAUCCCUUCAAAAUACAUCUACUCUUGCAAUUUUAGUGAUCAAGUGGCUUCUGACCAUGAAUAUACAAUCCCUGUCAUAGAUUAUUCUCUUCUCAUUUCUGCUAAUCCCAAUCAACGGUCCCAAGUCAUCUAUGAACUGGGCAAGGCCUGUGAGGAGUGGGGGUUCUUCAUGGUGAUCAACCAUGGAGUGCCAGAGAGCUUGGUGAAGAGGAUGAUUGAUGUGGUUGGAGGGUUUUUCAACCUGACAGAGGGAGAUAAACUGGAGUUCACUGAUAAGGGUGUGUUUGAUCCAAUCAGGUGUGGCACCAGCUUUAAUGCUUCCAUGGACACAGUCUUGUCUUGGAAAGAUUUUCUCAAGGUUUUUGUUCAUCCUGAGUUUCACUCACCCAACAAUCCCCCAGAGUUCAGAGGAAUAUCAUCGGAUUAUGUGAAAAAAGUCCGAGGAAUAGCAAGGGAGUUGCUCAGAGGGAUAUCAGAGAGCUUAGGGCUUGAAAAGAAUUACAUAGACGAGACCUUGAAAUUGGAAUCAGGUCUUCAAGUCAUUGCAGCAAAUUUCUAUCCUCCUUGUCCACAACCUGCACUUGCAAUGGGCAUGGUCCCGCAUUCUGACCACGGCCUCUUAACCCUCUUAAUACAGAACGGAAUUGACGGCCUUCAAGUGAAACACAAAGACAAGUGGUUCAAUGUGAAUGCCAUUCCCAACUCUCUCCUUGUUAACACUGGCGAUCAUCUUGAGAUUCUGAGUAAUGGGAAGUACAAGAGUGUUCUACAUCGAGCAGUUGUGCACGAUAAAACUACGAGGAUAUCUGUUGCCAUGGCACAUGGACCAUGUCUUGAUGCAGUUGUUACCCCAGCACCAAAGUUGCUAGCCGAUGCAGAAAAUCAUCAGCCAGCGUACAUUGGGAUUAAAUAUAAGGAUUACUUGCAACUGCAGCAGAGCAGCAAUCUGGAUGGGAAAUCUAACUUGGAUUGUCUACGAGUUUGAUUAGGAUAUUGCAAUGAUGGCAGGUAUAAGAGCAUACCAAAGGACUGCUUCUGUACGCUGAUCUUGCUGCAUUGCAAAUGCUAAUUUGCAGUUCUUGGCAAAUCCUGGAAAAUGACAAGUCUUGGGAGCUAUAUAUAUAAUGCGGCAAGCGAUCCCAGCAGAAGUUGAUUAAUUCUUGAGCAUCAACAUAAAAUCCCUCUUUCAACUUCACAAAUGCACAAGGUGUUUAUCCCCAAUGAUCAUCUGGGCAGCCAACGAUUGCAGCCACGAGAACUGCUGGGUGACCAUACAGAACUGCUUCACUCCAACCGAAUGCUUCACCGCAAGAUCUUCACUUCGAAACCUGCCUCCCCGGAAUGCUUGUUCUGUUGCUUUUAUGUCUUUCAAGUAUCCACUGAUUACUGGGUUUCCCCUGAACAUAAUUUCCCCUAAUGACUUAUCAUCAACAGUUACAGUU
RNA transcript from Tripterygium wilfordii, 1597 nucleotides. It is a transcript of the gene named protein DMR6-LIKE OXYGENASE 2-like, with no coding region annotated. Lineage: Eukaryota; Viridiplantae; Streptophyta; Magnoliopsida; Celastrales; Celastraceae. The record is from RefSeq and is a predicted model, not a curated record. The transcript is spliced from 5 exons.